GACGAACGCUGGCGGCGUGCUUAACACAUGCAAGUCGAACGGAAAGGCCCUGCUUUUGUGGGGUGCUCGAGUGGCGAACGGGUGAGUAACACGUGAGUAACCUGCCCUUGACUUUGGGAUAACUUCAGGAAACUGGGGCUAAUACCGGAUAGGAGCUCCUGCGGCAGGGGGGGGGUUGGAAAGUGUCGGCGGUGGGGGAUGGACACGCGGCUUAUCAGGUUGUGGGUGGGGUGGUGGCUUACCAAGGCUUUGACGGGUAGCCGGCCUGAGAGGGUGACCGGCCACAUUGCGACUGAGGUACGGCGCAGACUCCUACGGGAGGCAGCAGUGGGGGAUAUUGCACCAUGGGCGGAGGCCUGCUGCAGCAACGCCGCGUGCGGGAUGACGGCCUUCGGGUUGUAAACCGCUUUCGCCUGUGACGAAGCGUGAGUGACGGUAAUGGGUAAAGAAGCACCGGCUAACUACGUG
Molecule: ribosomal RNA, 468 nt
Filed under: uncultured bacterium
Lineage: Bacteria
Description: partial 16S ribosomal RNA
Rfam family: Bacterial small subunit ribosomal RNA
Source: RNAcentral